RNAcentral lists this ribosomal RNA (253 nucleotides) under uncultured bacterium. RNAcentral's name for it is "partial 16S ribosomal RNA". It matches the Rfam family "Bacterial small subunit ribosomal RNA", at positions 524 to 776 of the family's 1533-position model. The record is from RNAcentral.
UACGGAGGGUGCAAGCGUUAUCCGGAUUCACUGGGUUUAAAGGGAGCGUAGGUGGGUUGAUAAGUCAGUGGUGAGAUCUUCGAGCUUAACUCGGAAACUGCCAUUGAUACUAUCAGUCUUGAAUAUUGUGGAGGCUAGCGGAAUAUGUCAUGUAGCGGUGAAAUGCUUAGAUAUGACAUAGAACACCAAUUGCGAAGGCAGCUGGCUACACAUAUAUUGACACUGAGGCUCGAAAGCGUGGGGAUCAAACAGG